This 492-nucleotide ribosomal RNA is filed under the name uncultured bacterium. RNAcentral describes it as "partial 16S ribosomal RNA". It matches the Rfam family "Bacterial small subunit ribosomal RNA", at positions 29 to 507 of the family's 1533-position model. The record is from RNAcentral.
AGUGAACGCUGGCGUUAGGCCUAACACAUGCAAGUCGAACGGCAGCACAGUAAGAGCUUGCUCUUACGGGUGGCGAGUGGCGUACGGGUGAGGAAUACAUCUGAAUCUACUUUUUCGUGGGGGAUAACGUAGGGAAACUUACGCUAAUACCGCAUACGACCUACGGUUGAAAGCAGGGGAUCUUCGGACCUUGCGCUAUUGAAUGAGCCGAUGUCGGAUUAGCUAGUUGGCGGGGUAAAGGCCCACCAAGGCGACGAUCCGUAGCUGGUCUGAGAGGAUGAUCAGCCACACUGGAACUGAGACACGGUCCAGACUCCUACGGGAGGCAGCAGUGGGGAAUAUUGGACAAUGGGCGCAAGCCUGAUCCAGCCAUACCGCGUGGGUGAAGAAGGCCUUCGGGUUGUAAAGCCCUUUUGUUGGGAAAGAAAAGCAGCAGGUUAAUACCCCGCUGUUCUGACGGUACCAAAAGAAUAAGCACCGGCUAACUUCGUG